This 777-nucleotide long non-coding RNA is filed under the name Olea europaea (common olive). Its description in RNAcentral is "long non-coding RNA (OEUR_LNC002585)". Lineage: Eukaryota; Viridiplantae; Streptophyta; Magnoliopsida; Lamiales; Oleaceae. The record is from RNAcentral.
ACUGAUGAAAUCCUUCAGAGCAUGGAAGUCGGCAUGACCUUUCGCGAUUAUGUUUGUACUUCUUUCUUGUUGAAUUGUUAUUUUUAUUAGAAAAUGAAACUAUUAAAUGAAAUAUGGGGAAAUUGACUAUAUUAAAUGAAAUAUGGGGAAAUUGACUAUGAUUUUCCAUUUAUUUUGUUAUACUCGUUCUCUGCAAAAUAAUGUAAAUUGUUUAAUGAUCUUUUAAUUUUUAGUAUAGGAGUAACCAGUUGUUCAAGAGGGCUGAGACUUGCAGUACUUUCUGUUUAAUUUCACAUUAUGGAGACUAAGGUUUUAUAUUGUUAUUAUCAAAUAAUGGACCCUUGUCAGUUUAGUAAGGAAGAUUCUGCUUUGGGUAAACGGAUAUGCAUUGUUGGAUUUUAGGAACUAGUUUCUUAAUUCCAGUAGUUGAAGAAAUUUAAUUUUGUAACUUUCAAUAGGAAAUGGAAAAAAGCAUUUGUAUAAUGUAAGUUUUGUUUUUCAGGAAAGCUUGGUAUAUGGUAUGGAUUUAGAUUCCCUAAGCAUGGGAAAGCUUCCAAUUUGAUACGAUUAGGAAAGGGGUCAUAAAUCAUAAGAGCAACCGGGAGAAGUAAAAAACUGAUGAGAUUAGAAAAAUCAAUAGGUGACUGCCUGCAUGGCUAUUUAGCAUUCUAAAUUCUAACUUAACGCUCACAGUUGUGACCAAUGAUAAUACAAGUCAACAUUGUAAAAAACAAGGUUAUCUGUUUAAACAUAGUGUUCGUGUUCAUAUAUAUUAAG